GACGAACGCUGGCGGCGUGCCUAAUACAUGCAAGUAGAACGCUGAAGAAGGAGCUUGCUUCUCUGGAUGAGUUGCGAACGGGUGAGUAACGCGUAGGUAACCUGCCUGGUAGCGGGGGAUAACUAUUGGAAACGAUAGCUAAUACCGCAUAACAGUAGAUGUUGCAUGACAUUUGCUUAAAAGGUGCAAUUGCAUCACUACCAGAUGGACCUGCGUUGUAUUAGCUAGUUGGUGGGGUAACGGCUCACCAAGGCGACGAUACAUAGCCGACCUGAGAGGGUGAUCGGCCACACUGGGACUGAGACACGGCCCAGACUCCUACGGGAGGCAGCAGUAGGGAAUCUUCGGCAAUGGACGGAAGUCUGACCGAGCAACGCCGCGUGAGUGAAGAAGGUUUUCGGAUCGUAAAGCUCUGUUGUAAGAGAAGAACGAGUGUGAGAGUGGAAAGUUCACACUGUGACGGUAUCUACCA
RNAcentral lists this ribosomal RNA (472 nucleotides) under Streptococcus mitis. Its description in RNAcentral is "bacterial SSU rRNA". It matches the Rfam family "Bacterial small subunit ribosomal RNA", at positions 28 to 485 of the family's 1533-position model. The record is from RNAcentral. Lineage: Bacteria; Bacillati; Bacillota; Bacilli; Lactobacillales; Streptococcaceae.